GGGCCCGCACAAGCGGUGGAGUAUGUGGUUUAAUUCGAUGAUACGCGAGGAACCUUACCAGGGUUUAAAUGCAGAACGACAGGGGUGGAAACACCCCCUUCUUCGGACGGACUGCAAGGUGCUGCAUGGUUGUCGUCAGCUCGUGCUGUGAAGUGUCGGGUUAAGUCCCAUAACGAGCGCAACCCCAUUUCUAGUUGCCAGCGGUUCGGCCGGGGACUCUAGAGAAACUGCCAGCGUAAGCUGUGAGGAAGUGGGAUGACGUCAAUCAUCACGGCCCUUACAUCCUGGGCCACACACGUGCUACAAUGGUGGGGACAACAGGUUGCCAACCCGCGAGGGUGAGCCAAUCCCAAAAAGCUAUCUC
This 364-nucleotide ribosomal RNA is filed under the name uncultured bacterium. RNAcentral's name for it is "bacterial SSU rRNA". It matches the Rfam family "Bacterial small subunit ribosomal RNA", at positions 917 to 1289 of the family's 1533-position model. The record is from RNAcentral.